GUUUCAGAGAGCAAUAUCGACGGCAUAGAGAUAUCUGUCAGUAAUGACGAGAGGAGGGACAGAGCCGAUGCCGAGAACUCAGAGGACGAGCCAAAGCACAGGAGGAUGCGGUCGCUGAGGAAGAAGGCGCUGCACGCUUCAACCAAGCUGACACAUUCGCUGAAGAAGAGGGGGAAGAGGAAAGUCGACUGCAGAGUGCCGAGAAUACCGAUAGAGGAUGUCAGGGAUGCGGGUGAAGAGCAGGCGGUCAGUUCGUUCCGUGAGGUUUUGUUUGCCAGGAACCUUUUGCCUGAAAGGCAUGAUGAUUACCAUAUGAUGCUUAGAUUUUUGAAAGCUAGAAAGUUUGAUGUCGAAAAGGCAGCACAAAUGUGGGAUGAGAUGCUCCAGUGGAGGAAUGAAUUUGGGACAGACACAAUUUUGGAAGAUUUUGAAUUUCAUGAGCUAGAGGAGGUACUGCAAUAUUAUCCCCAGGGUUAUCAUGGGGUUGACAAGGAUGGAAGGCCUGUCUAUAUCGAGUUGCUUGGAAAAGUUGAACCCAAUAAACUUGUGCAAACCACAACAGUGGAACGAUAUAUCAAGUACCAUGUGCAAGAGUUUGAGAGAGCAUUCCGUGAGAAGUUUCCUGCCUGCUCAAUUUCUGCUCAAAAGCAUAUAGAUACAACAACCACAAUAUUGGAUGUCCAUGGCGUGGGCUGGAAGAACUUUGGUAAGAUUGCAAGGGAUUUAGUGCGCUGUAUGCAGAAAAUAGAUGGUGACUAUUAUCCCGAGACACUACAUCAAAUGUUCAUUGUAAAUGCUGGAGCUGGUUUCAAACUGAUCUGGAGCACUAUAAAGGGACUUCUUGACCCCAAAACAUCAUCAAAAAUUCAUGUUCUAGGAGCAAAAUACCAGAGCAGGCUUCUUGAAGCUAUUGACGCAAGCCAAUUACCAGAGUUUUUUGGUGGUUUGUGCACAUGCUCUAACCAAGGAGGAUGUCUGAGGUCCAACAAAGGCCCUUGGAGUGACCCUUUAAUUAUGAAGAUCGUACAUAGCAUGGAAUCAUCUGCAUUAAGGGAUAUUGUGCAAGUAUCUGAUAUAGAAGAAACAAUUACAGGCUCUGUAAGAUUGCGUGCGCUCAAGUUACCAGAAAGAAUUAGUGAUACAUCAAAUGCUGAAUCAGGUUCAGAUGUUGAUGAUCUUGGAUCCCCUGUAGCCCCAGAAGAUGUUGAAUAUCAUAGUUUGGCUCCAGUCCGUGAGGAAGCCAGGGAAUCAGGAUCAACGACAUACGGCUGUUCAGACGAUCGACCUCUUUCAGUGGAUAAAGCUGUCGAGUCCAAUAAAAGAUCUAACGUUGCUGGAAAUGUAUUAAGGCAGUACAACACACGGCAAAAUUCAUCGAUGAAUAGAGUUUCGCCUGAGCCAGCAGGUCGCGCCCCAAAUGUCCGUGAAGGCGAUGCAGAUGAUGGGAUUUUGAAAUUAUUUUCAAGAAAAGUUCUUGCUGUAAUUCUCAAAGUACUCUCUCUUUUGCGCUUGUUCACUCGCCAUCAGCGACAGUUGGAAAAUGUUCAUCCACAUACUGCAGCUGUACCCAGUAAUCAACCAAAUCUUCAGAUAGUUAAGGAAGACCGAGUAAAUCCUUGUCUGGAGCGUCUUGAAAGACUUGAAUCGAUGUGUAAUCAACUCAGCAGAAAGCCUCCUGAGAUCCCACAGGAUAAGGAUCGUGCUAUACAGGAUUCUUUUGAUAGGAUAAAAUCCAUUGAAUUUGACCUGGAGAAGACAAAGAAGGUAUUGCAUGCAACAGUGAUCAAACAAAUGCAGAUGGCUGAAACAUUGGAGUCCGUGACAGAGUCUGGUCAUAGAAGAAGGAAAUUUUGUACGUAA
RNAcentral lists this ribosomal RNA (1860 nucleotides) under Triticum aestivum (bread wheat). RNAcentral's name for it is "partial small subunit ribosomal RNA". Lineage: Eukaryota; Viridiplantae; Streptophyta; Magnoliopsida; Poales; Poaceae. The record is from RNAcentral.